GUGCUCACUUCGGCAGCACAUACUAAAAUUGAAAUGAUACAGAAAAGAUUAGCAUGACCGAGGAAGACAUGCAAAUUUGUGAAGCGUUCCAAAAUAAA
RNAcentral lists this small nuclear RNA (98 nucleotides) under Saimiri boliviensis boliviensis (Bolivian squirrel monkey). The record is from RNAcentral. Lineage: Eukaryota; Metazoa; Chordata; Mammalia; Primates; Cebidae.